UACAGAGGUGCCAAGCGUUAGGCGGAAUCACUGGGCUUAAAGCGCGUGUAGGUGGGUCGUUAAGUGUCCGCGUGAAAUCCCACGGCUCAACCGUGGAACUGCCGGGCAUACUGGCGAUCUUGAGGCAUUCAGGGGCGAGCGGAACAAGUGGUGGAGCGGUGAAAUUCGUAGAUAUCGGGAGGAACACCAGUGGCGAAGGCGGCGAUCUGGGAAGAUACUGACGCUGAGGUGCGAAAGCGUGGGGAGCAAACAGG
This 254-nucleotide ribosomal RNA is filed under the name uncultured bacterium. Its description in RNAcentral is "partial 16S ribosomal RNA". It matches the Rfam family "Bacterial small subunit ribosomal RNA", at positions 524 to 776 of the family's 1533-position model. The record is from RNAcentral.